Molecule: ribosomal RNA, 424 nt
Filed under: bacterium
Lineage: Bacteria
Description: partial 16S ribosomal RNA
Rfam family: Bacterial small subunit ribosomal RNA
Source: RNAcentral
UGAGGAAUAUUGGUCAAUGGACGCAAGUCUGAACCAGCCAUGCCGCGUGAAGGAUGAAGGCCUUCUGGGUUGUAAACUUCUUUUAUCUGGGAAGAAAACUACGGUUUCUACUGUAGCCGACGGUACCAGAGGAAUAAGCACCGGCUAACUCCGUGCCAGCAGCCGCGGUAAUACGGAGGGUGCAAGCGUUAUCCGGAUAUACUGGGUUUAAAGGGUGUGUAGGCGGGUCUUUAAGUCAGUGGUGAAAUCUCCGAGCUCAACUUGGAAACUGCCAUUGAUACUAUUGAUCUUGAAUUCUGUUGAGGUUGGCGGAAUAAGUCAUGUAGCGGUGAAAUGCAUAGAUAUGACUUAGAACACCGAUUGCGAAGGCAGCUAACUAAACAGAUAUUGACGCUGAGGCACGAAAGCGUGGGGAUCAAACAGG